CUGGCGGCGUGCCUAACACAUGGCAAGUCGGAGCGGGGACGAUGCGACGGAACCGGAGUUUACGGAUGGAAGGCGAAGAGUGUAUGUCGUAGCGGCGGACGGGUGAGUAACGCGUGAGCAACCUGUCCGUUCACAGGGGGAUAACACAGCGAAAGUUGUACUAAUACCGCAUAAGACCACACCGGGACAUCCCGGAGGGGUCAAAAGGAGCAAUCCGGUGAAGGGUGGGCUCGCGUCCGAUUAGAUAGUUGGUGAGGUAACGGCCCACCAAGUCGACGAUCGGUAGCCGACCUGAGAGGGUGAUCGGCCACAUUGGGACUGAGACACGGCCCAAACUCCUACGGGAGGCAGCAGUGGGGAAUGUUGGGCAAUGGGGGAAACCCUUGACCCAGCAACGCCGCGUGAGGGAAGAAGGUUUUCGGAUCGUAAACCUCUGUCCUUGGUGAAGAGAGAGAGACGGUAGCCAAGGAGGAAGCCCCGGCUAACUACGUGCCAGCCGCAGC
This 503-nucleotide ribosomal RNA is filed under the name uncultured bacterium. RNAcentral's name for it is "bacterial SSU rRNA". It matches the Rfam family "Bacterial small subunit ribosomal RNA", at positions 36 to 518 of the family's 1533-position model. The record is from RNAcentral.